AGAGUUUGAUCCUGGCUCAGGACGAACGCUGGCGGCGUGCUUAACACAUGCAAGUCGAGCGGAAAGGCCCUUCGGGGUACUCGAGCGGCGAACGGGUGAGUAACACGUGAGCAAUCUGCCCUUAGCUUCGGGAUAGCUCCGGGAAACCGGAAUUAAUACCGGAUACGACCUAGGCUGACAUCGGCCAUGGUGGAAAGAUU
This 200-nucleotide ribosomal RNA is filed under the name uncultured bacterium. RNAcentral's name for it is "partial 16S ribosomal RNA". It matches the Rfam family "Bacterial small subunit ribosomal RNA", at positions 8 to 210 of the family's 1533-position model. The record is from RNAcentral.